UUCUUCUUGUGAUAGAUGUGCGGAUGAUGGCCUCAGUUCUUCAUUAGUGGUGGGGCAUCUUAUUUGUUGGAGAAGAAAUUACAAACCGAUUUCAGUGAGUUGGAGGUGGACUUGCUAGAUGAUUUUUGAUAAACUAGAAUAUAUUAUCAACUCCUGCAGAGAACAUUGUGACAUGAGGUUGGAGGAUUAUCGCAUGGAGGUUAGAUGUCCUUUUGUUGCUUAUAGGUUCAACAAGAAAUUUAUAGUAGCUACAACUGUAUGCCUUGAUUAAUUUAGAUAGCCUAGAAUAUAUUAUUAGCUCCCGGAGAGAUCGUUAGGACAUAGUGUUGGAGGAUUGACAGGAAUGGAGGUUAGAUGUCCUUUUAUUAUUGCUUCUA
RNAcentral lists this unclassified non-coding RNA (377 nucleotides) under Hevea brasiliensis (rubber tree). Lineage: Eukaryota; Viridiplantae; Streptophyta; Magnoliopsida; Malpighiales; Euphorbiaceae. The record is from RNAcentral.